Molecule: non-coding RNA, 107 nt
Filed under: Thermobacillus composti
Lineage: Bacteria; Bacillati; Bacillota; Bacilli; Caryophanales; Paenibacillaceae
Also listed under: 1 other name
Description: SAM-I sequence
Rfam family: SAM riboswitch aptamer (S box leader)
About the family: The SAM riboswitch is found upstream of a number of genes which code for proteins involved in methionine or cysteine biosynthesis in Gram-positive bacteria. The SAM riboswitch acts at the level of transcription termination control.
Source: RNAcentral
UUCUUAUCAAGAGCAGGCGGAGGGACUGGCCCGAUGAAGCCCGGCAACCGGCGUUCAGCACGGUGCUAAUUCUUGCGGAAAAUGUGAUGUUUUCCGAGAGAUGAGGA